CUUAUGGAGGUGCGGUGAGGAGGUCCGAUUUAACACCUGUUUGUUAUUGCGGUGAGAAGGCAAUCACAAGAACUGCUAGAACGGCUAAGAACAGGGGGAGAAAAUUUUGGGGUUGCCCAAAGUUCAAGGGUGGAAGUGAAGAAGUUGUUGGAUGCAAUUUUUUUUCAUGGUGCAGUGAAAAUGUAGUAGAAGAAAGAUGUGGUCCUACGAAGAAUGACGAUGAUGACACUGCAACGAAGAUGGUAGAAAGGGAUGACCAAAGCAAAUUAAUAAAGACAAAGAUGGUAGAAAGGGAAGGGGAAAACAAA
This is a long non-coding RNA of Vigna unguiculata (cowpea), 308 nucleotides long. RefSeq lists it as uncharacterized. The record is from RefSeq and is a predicted model, not a curated record. Lineage: Eukaryota; Viridiplantae; Streptophyta; Magnoliopsida; Fabales; Fabaceae.